RNAcentral lists this ribosomal RNA (839 nucleotides) under Cellulophaga sp. RHA_22. Its description in RNAcentral is "bacterial SSU rRNA". It matches the Rfam family "Bacterial small subunit ribosomal RNA", at positions 63 to 902 of the family's 1533-position model. Lineage: Bacteria; Pseudomonadati; Bacteroidota; Flavobacteriia; Flavobacteriales; Flavobacteriaceae. The record is from RNAcentral.
CGAGGGGUAACAGAGGAGCUUGCUCUUGCUGACGACCGGCGCACGGGUGCGUAACGCGUAUACAAUCUGCCUUACACUAAGGGAUAGCCCAGAGAAAUUUGGAUUAACACCUUAUAGUUUAUUUUUAUGGCAUCAUUUAAAUAAUAAAGUUUACGGUGUAAGAUGAGUAUGCGUCCCAUUAGUUUGUUGGUAAGGUAACGGCUUACCAAGACUACGAUGGGUAGGGGCCCUGAGAGGGGGAUCCCCCACACUGGUACUGAGACACGGACCAGACUCCUACGGGAGGCAGCAGUGAGGAAUAUUGGACAAUGGAGGAGACUCUGAUCCAGCCAUGCCGCGUGCAGGAAGACGGUCCUAUGGAUUGUAAACUGCUUUUAUACAGGAAGAAUAAGGACUACGUGUAGUCUGGUGACGGUACUGUAAGAAUAAGGACCGGCUAACUCCGUGCCAGCAGCCGCGGUAAUACGGAGGGUCCGAGCGUUAUCCGGAAUUAUUGGGUUUAAAGGGUCCGUAGGCGGGCUGUUAAGUCAGGGGUGAAAGUUUGCAGCUCAACUGUAGAAUUGCCUUUGAUACUGAUGGUCUUGAAUUAUUGUGAAGUGGUUAGAAUAUGUAGUGUAGCGGUGAAAUGCAUAGAUAUUACAUAGAAUACCGAUUGCGAAGGCAGAUCACUAACAAUUGAUUGACGCUGAUGGACGAAAGCGUGGGUAGCGAACAGGAUUAGAUACCCUGGUAGUCCACGCCGUAAACGAUGGAUACUAGCUGUUUGGAUUUCGAUCUGAGCGGCCAAGCGAAAGUGAUAAGUAUCCCACCUGGGGAGUACGUUCGCAAGAAUGAAACUC